AGCUUUGCGCAGUGGCAGUAUCGUAGCCAAUGAGGUUUAUCCAAGGCGCGAUUAUUGCUAAUUGAAAAACUUAAAGGAAUUUCAAAUUCUUUAAGAUCCAGAAGGAAGUUGGAGCAUGUAUGUAUUUCUUGAUAGA
Molecule: non-coding RNA, 136 nt
Organism: Mustela putorius furo (domestic ferret)
Lineage: Eukaryota; Metazoa; Chordata; Mammalia; Carnivora; Mustelidae
Source: Rfam